This is a long non-coding RNA of Neopelma chrysocephalum (saffron-crested tyrant-manakin), 277 nucleotides long. RefSeq lists it as uncharacterized. The record is from RefSeq and is a predicted model, not a curated record. Lineage: Eukaryota; Metazoa; Chordata; Aves; Passeriformes; Pipridae. The transcript is spliced from 3 exons.
GAGGCUGUGAAGGGUGGAUGUGGAGAGCCAGAGGUGCAGGAGCAGCCAGUGUCACCAGUCUGGGAUCCCCUGGAAGCUCUGAGGGGAGAUGCUGGAAGGGCCAUCCUGCUGCUGUCCAGACAGUAAUGGAACAGAUUCCAGGUCCGGAGCGUGCGGACACAGCGGUGCCGAGCGGCCUCCUCCACCUGCCUGCUUCUGAAACAGAUUUUGGGCCAGGAGGAGGUGGCAGAGCUCCACAGCCAUGGGGCAGAGGAUUCCCUGGAUAGCUUUGUUUUCU